UAAUGAAAUAGAAAAGGAAGCCAUGCGCUAACAUGACUUCCUAGCGCAAACACCAUUUAAGAUGGUGACAGCUGUAUUAGAUAAUAAAAU
This 90-nucleotide small RNA is filed under the name Paenilisteria rocourtiae. RNAcentral describes it as "Listeria rocourtiae RNA anti-toxin A". It matches the Rfam family "RNA anti-toxin A". Lineage: Bacteria; Bacillati; Bacillota; Bacilli; Caryophanales; Listeriaceae. The record is from RNAcentral.